Molecule: ribosomal RNA, 973 nt
Filed under: seawater metagenome
Description: bacterial LSU rRNA
Rfam family: Bacterial large subunit ribosomal RNA
Source: RNAcentral
GUAGCGAAAUUCCUUGUCGGGUAAGUUCCGACCUGCACGAAUGGCGUAACGACGGCCACACUGUCUCCACCCGAGACUCAGUGAAAUUGAAAUCGCUGUUAAGAUGCAGUGUAUCCGCGGCUAGACGGAAAGACCCCGUGAACCUUUACUAUAGCUUCACAGUGAACUUUGAACCUAUUUGUGUAGGAUAGGUGGGAGGCUUUGAAACUGGGACGCUAGUCUCAGUGGAGCCAAACUUGAAAUACCACCCUGGUAUGUUUGAGGUUCUAACUCAGGUCCGUAAUCCGGAUCGAGGACACUGUGUGGUGGGUAGUUUGACUGGGGCGGUCUCCUCCCAAAGAGUAACGGAGGAGCACGAAGGUAUGCUAAUCAUGGUCGGAAAUCAUGAGGUUAGUGCAAUGGCAUAAGCAUGCUUAACUGCGAGACAGACACGUCGAGCAGAUACGAAAGUAGGUCAUAGUGAUCCGGUGGUUCUGAAUGGAAGGGCCAUCGCUCAACGGAUAAAAGGUACUCCGGGGAUAACAGGCUGAUACCGCCCAAGAGUUCACAUCGACGGCGGUGUUUGGCACCUCGAUGUCGGCUCAUCACAUCCUGGGGCUGAAGCCGGUCCCAAGGGUAUGGCUGUUCGCCAUUUAAAGUGGUACGCGAGCUGGGUUUAGAACGUCGUGAGACAGUUCGGUCCCUAUCUGCCGUGGACGUUUGAGAUUUGAGAAGAGUUGCUCCUAGUACGAGAGGACCGGAGUGAACGAACCUCUGGUGUUCCGGUUGUCACGCCAGUGGCAUUGCCGGGUAGCUACGUUCGGACAGGAUAACCGCUGAAAGCAUCUAAGCGGGAAGCCCCCUUCAAGAUGAGAUCUCACAGGACUUUAAGUCCCUAAAGAGCCGUUCAAGACUAGGACGUUGAUAGGUUGGGUGUGUAAGCACGGUAACGUGUUGAGCUAACCAAUACUAAUUGCUCGUGAGGCUUGACCAU